Molecule: transfer RNA, 98 nt
Filed under: Kwoniella bestiolae CBS 10118
Lineage: Eukaryota; Fungi; Basidiomycota; Tremellomycetes; Tremellales; Cryptococcaceae
Description: tRNA-Gly
Rfam family: tRNA
About the family: Transfer RNA (tRNA) molecules are approximately 80 nucleotides in length. Their secondary structure includes four short double-helical elements and three loops (D, anti-codon, and T loops).
Source: RNAcentral
ACGCUAAUGGUGUAAUGGUAACAUAACCGCCUUCCAAGGCCAGUGUUUCGCACUGAUCUGUUUAGCAGUUGCCUAGGGUUCGAUUCCCUAUUAGCGUA